This 31-nucleotide non-coding RNA is filed under the name Mus musculus (house mouse). The record is from RNAcentral. Lineage: Eukaryota; Metazoa; Chordata; Mammalia; Rodentia; Muridae.
UGGAUGAUGCCAAGUUCUGCUCCUGAUGUGU